Long non-coding RNA from Poeciliopsis prolifica (blackstripe livebearer), 127 nucleotides. RefSeq lists it as uncharacterized. NCBI's taxonomy places the organism in Eukaryota, Metazoa, Chordata, Actinopteri, Cyprinodontiformes, Poeciliidae. The transcript is spliced from 5 exons. The record is from RefSeq and is a predicted model, not a curated record.
ACAGCUGGAAGGACAACUCAGAAUCAAGCCGGAGUGAUCACUCAUAAUCGAACUGGUGUGAUCACUAAUAAUCAAACUGGAGUGACAACGCAGACAACUACAGCUGGAAGGACAACUCAGAAUCAAG